RNAcentral lists this ribosomal RNA (778 nucleotides) under Paenarthrobacter sp. RNAcentral's name for it is "bacterial SSU rRNA". It matches the Rfam family "Bacterial small subunit ribosomal RNA", at positions 77 to 867 of the family's 1533-position model. Lineage: Bacteria; Bacillati; Actinomycetota; Actinomycetes; Micrococcales; Micrococcaceae. The record is from RNAcentral.
AGCUUGCUGGGGGAUUAGUGGCGAACGGGUGAGUAACACGUGAGUAACCUGCCCUUGACUCUGGGAUAAGCCUGGGAAACUGGGUCUAAUACCGGAUACGACCAUCUGGCGCAUGUCAUGGUGGUGGAAAGCUUUUGUGGUUUUGGAUGGACUCGCGGCCUAUCAGCUUGUUGGUGGGGUAAUGGCCUACCAAGGCGACGACGGGUAGCCGGCCUGAGAGGGUGACCGGCCACACUGGGACUGAGACACGGCCCAGACUCCUACGGGAGGCAGCAGUGGGGAAUAUUGCACAAUGGGCGCAAGCCUGAUGCAGCGACGCCGCGUGAGGGAUGACGGCCUUCGGGUUGUAAACCUCUUUCAGUAGGGAAGAAGCGAAAGUGACGGUACCUGCAGAAGAAGCGCCGGCUAACUACGUGCCAGCAGCCGCGGUAAUACGUAGGGCGCAAGCGUUAUCCGGAAUUAUUGGGCGUAAAGAGCUCGUAGGCGGUUUGUCGCGUCUGCUGUGAAAGACCGGGGCUCAACUCCGGUUCUGCAGUGGGUACGGGCAGACUAGAGUGCAGUAGGGGAGACUGGAAUUCCUGGUGUAGCGGUGAAAUGCGCAGAUAUCAGGAGGAACACCGAUGGCGAAGGCAGGUCUCUGGGCUGUAACUGACGCUGAGGAGCGAAAGCAUGGGGAGCGAACAGGAUUAGAUACCCUGGUAGUCCAUGCCGUAAACGUUGGGCACUAGGUGUGGGGGACAUUCCACGUUUUCCGCGCCGUAGCUAACGCAUUAAGUGC